Molecule: non-coding RNA, 70 nt
Organism: Podarcis lilfordi (Lilford's wall lizard)
Lineage: Eukaryota; Metazoa; Chordata; Lepidosauria; Squamata; Lacertidae
Source: the annotation of a GenBank genome assembly
GGCUGUAGCUUAGUGGUAGGGCCCCUGCUUUGCACACAGAAGGUCUGGGGUUCAAAUCCACUUAGGGCUG